UUUUUUUUUUUUUUUCCUCAGGAGAACAGGGAAGGUACCACAUGGGCCUGGUUUGAGUGAGAGCAUUUGGACAGUGAGGCACAUUUGACAGGAGCAGGAGAGGGGCAAAAGUACAGGUGAAAACAGAGGGUUUGGCUGCAAUUAAUGCUUUUUACAUUCUUUCACAUAUCACUUGCUGGCCACAAAAAUGUCCACUUCCCUCAGGGGCGGUUUUCCAGGUGGUCUUUUCCCAGGCCUGGCUUCCUGGACAGGUUUUUUGCAGGAGGCAGGGAUGGGGAAAUCCCAGGCAGAUUUACUCAGACUUCCUCAAGUUACCAAAAUUAGGGCAGCUGAAUUCCAGUCUGAGGGAUCAAUGAUAAGACAUCACAGGAAGCACAAAACUCAAAUUAGCAUCCACAGAAGAUCCUGGACUGUUUGUGUCCUGCAGGGAGCUAUGAGGGGCUCUGCUGUGACCUGCAGGGCUGGAGAAGCAGCAGGAGCUGCUGUCACACCCCACAGUGCCCAGGGGGACAGGGGGAGACCACCAGCUCCACAUCUGCACCUGGAGAGCACAAAGGGGAGGGCUGCUCCUUCUGCAGGCACUUCCUGAUAAAAUAAUACCUAAUACAUAUCGAUAAACUGAAUUAAUGAGGGGAAAGUGUUAAGGGGAAGUAAAUGCAUUUCCAGAUUAGUUUAUGACAGGAUUAAUCUACACACUCCAGUUUCAGUGCUGGCUGCUUUCCCUCUAACCCAUCCCACUGCAAACCAACCCCUCUGAGCACUGAUCUCACCAGCCUGGCAGCUUUCAGAUGCAGCUGCCCGAAACUCUGCACCUAAAUGCAGACCUUUUAGGAGCUGAAGCACAUCUCUUGGAGAGGAAUGAUGUUAAAUUGGUGCGAUCUCUGCCGGCUGAGCACUGCCAGCCGGAGCAGUGCUGGGCAGGGGGUUCCAGCUGGCAGGAGGGGUGACAAAGAACAGGCAAAGUGGGGGCUCCGAGACCCCUGAGCAGAGCCCAAACCAGCCUCAGCAGCUCUGCAGCUUCUCUCCUCACCCACUUUGGUGCUGCCCUUGCACAGCUGCAGCAGUUUCCCCAAAGUUUUACACAAACCUCCCUCUCCACAGCCCCACACCCUGCCCGAGGAGGGAUGGGGGAACCAAGCACCGCUGUCUCCUUUCUGCCCGUGUUUUGCAUAUUUGAAAGCUCUUAUCGUGCUUCACCUGAAGCUUCUCCCCGGGCCCCAUCGCCCCCGUGUCCGGCAGGAUGCUGGGGGGGCACAGCACCCAGGUCUGCCUCCCUCCCUGCCCGAGAGGUGCCCAAAUAUGGUGCCACACUGCUCCAGCGUGGCCCGGCAUUACUUCAUUCCUUGCAUAUGCAACACACCUAUUUAUACAUUUUAACGGGAUGUUUGCCAUUCUCGGCCCGGGGUGUUAUCCCUCCUGUGGAGCUGUGGGUGCUGCGAUGCCCCCAGGCUUGUUUUCCUUUCAGCCCUUCACCCUCCCCGUCCUGGAACGUGCAUUUGCUCAUCACACCCUCCUCUGCAGCACCUUCUUUCAGACCUUUCCCCCAAUUUAUGAUUUCCAUCCCAAGCCCGUCUCCUUGGUGCAGUGCUUGGAUGCCUUUCAGCUCCCCUUCCCCUCCAAAUUCCACAGGCAGACAAACCAUGUCUGUCUAACUCUGUUCUCCCACCAUUUAUGGAAUAUUUAGUUUCCCCAGCUCUGGAAAACUCUUUCCAGUUCAUCCCAGUAACUAUUAACAGCUAUUCUCUGAAUAUCCUCUAAGAGGAAGAAACUAGAUUCUAUGGUUACAGCCAUUUUUGAAAAACUUCGGAUGCAAUUUCUCCCAUCUCUCAGGAUGGGAUACAGGAUGCAUUCACUCCUGGAGAGGGGGUGCUUGUCCUCCCUCCACCUUUCCAGGACUCACUCCUCACUGCAAGGUCUCAGAAGCCACUGCAGACAUUCCCUCUGCACCCUGGCAGGAGCUGCAGCCCUGACCUACCUGGGCUGGCUGUCCUUGCCCUUUUCUCCUCUGCUGCAGCGCUGAUCUUCCCUGCCAGCACUGGGAUCAAAAUCUGCUUUCCUGGUGGCACCUCACCUGUUUAGUGACAACCACAGCAGUUGGAAAGUAAGCAACGAGCCCCUUCCAGGGACUGGCAGCAGCUUUUCCUUGUCCUUAGCAAAGGGACAAGUCACUGGUGCA
RNAcentral lists this long non-coding RNA (2176 nucleotides) under Taeniopygia guttata (zebra finch). Its description in RNAcentral is "lncRNA (ENSTGUG00000028349.1)". Lineage: Eukaryota; Metazoa; Chordata; Aves; Passeriformes; Estrildidae. The record is from RNAcentral.